AUUGAACGCUGGCGGAAUGCUUUACACAUGCAAGUCGAACGGCAGCACGGACUUCGGUCUGGUGGCGAGUGGCGAACGGGUGAGUAAUGUAUCGGAACGUGCCCAGUCGUGGGGGAUAACGUAGUGAAAAUUACGCUAAUACCGCAUACGAUCUAUGGAUGAAAGCGGGGGAUCGCAAGACCUCGCGCGAUUGGAGCGGCCGAUAUCAGAUUAGGUAGUUGGUGGGGUAAAGGCCCACCAAGCCAACGAUCUGUAGCUGGGCUGAGAGGACGACCAGCAAAGCUGGAACUGAGACACGGUCCAGACUCCUACGGGAGGCAGCAGUGGAGAAUUUUGGACAAUGGGCGAAAGCCUGAUCCAGCCAUUCCGCGUGAAGGAUGAAGGCCCUCGGGUUGUAAACUGCUUUUGUACAGAACGAAAAGGUUUCUACUAAUACUAGGAGCUCAUGACGGUACUGUAAGAAUAAGCACCGGCUGACUACGUGCCAGCAGCCGCAGUAA
This 500-nucleotide ribosomal RNA is filed under the name uncultured bacterium. RNAcentral's name for it is "partial 16S ribosomal RNA". It matches the Rfam family "Bacterial small subunit ribosomal RNA", at positions 30 to 523 of the family's 1533-position model. The record is from RNAcentral.